RNAcentral lists this ribosomal RNA (89 nucleotides) under Salvator merianae (Argentine black and white tegu). The record is from RNAcentral. Lineage: Eukaryota; Metazoa; Chordata; Lepidosauria; Squamata; Teiidae.
AUCUAUAAUAAAUUUCUCCUCCUCAUUCCAAUCGUGCCUAGUUAGUACUUGGAUGGAAGACCACCUGGGAAUACUGAGUGCUGUAGGCU